Molecule: ribosomal RNA, 618 nt
Filed under: Triticum aestivum (bread wheat)
Lineage: Eukaryota; Viridiplantae; Streptophyta; Magnoliopsida; Poales; Poaceae
Description: partial small subunit ribosomal RNA
Source: RNAcentral
AUGGCGGAAGGCAAGAAGGAUUCUCCGAAGCUGAACCAGCGGAUGGUAUCAUCUCUCUCGAAGCGAACUGCCGCGGCACAUUCUUGGCAUGAUCUGGAGAUAGGACCUGAAGCCCCUCUGAUCUUCAACGCCGUUGUUGAGAUCACAAAGGGGAGCAAAGUCAAGUAUGAACUUGACAAGAAGACUGGGAUGAUAAAGGUUGACAGGAUUCUGUACUCGUCCGUAGUCUAUCCACAUAACUACGGUUUCGUACCACGGACGCUGUGUGAAGAUGGAGAUCCAAUUGACGUCUUGGUCCUGAUGCAGGAACCAGUCAUACCUGGUUGCUUUCUUCGAGCUAAGGCUAUUGGGCUGAUGCCCAUGAUUGAUCAGGGUGAGAAAGAUGAUAAGCUCAUUGCUGUUUGCGUUGAUGAUCCCGAGUACCGUCAUCUCAACGACCUUAAGGAGCUCUCUCCCCACCGCCUUGCUGAAAUCCGUCGCUUCUUCGAAGAUUACAAGAAGAAUGAGAACAAGGAGGUUGCUGUCAACGACUUCUUGCCACCGGAGACUGCACAGGCUGCCAUUAAGCACUCGAUGGACCUAUACGCAGAAUAUAUCCUGCAGAGUCUGAGGAACUAA